CGGGGCGUGGCGCAGCUUGGUAGCGCGUCUGAUUUGGGAUCAGAAGGCCGCAGGUUCAAAUCCUGUCGCCCCGACCA
Molecule: transfer RNA, 77 nt
Filed under: Syntrophomonas wolfei
Lineage: Bacteria; Bacillati; Bacillota; Clostridia; Eubacteriales; Syntrophomonadaceae
Also listed under: 5 other names
Description: tRNA-Pro
Rfam family: tRNA
About the family: Transfer RNA (tRNA) molecules are approximately 80 nucleotides in length. Their secondary structure includes four short double-helical elements and three loops (D, anti-codon, and T loops).
Source: RNAcentral